Molecule: ribosomal RNA, 452 nt
Filed under: uncultured Hydrogenophaga sp.
Lineage: Bacteria; Pseudomonadati; Pseudomonadota; Betaproteobacteria; Burkholderiales; Comamonadaceae
Description: bacterial SSU rRNA
Rfam family: Bacterial small subunit ribosomal RNA
Source: RNAcentral
GCACAAGCGGUGGAUGAUGUGGUUAAUUCGAUGCAACGCGAAAACCUUACCACCUUUGACAUGUACGGAAGUUGCCAGAGAUGGCUUCGUGCUCGAAAGAGAGCCGUAACACAGGUGCUGCAUGGCUGUCGUCAGCUCGUGUCGUGAGAUGUUGGGUUAAGUCCCGCAACGAGCGCAACCCUUGUCAUUAGUUGCUACGAAAGGGCACUCUAAUGAGACUGCCGGUGACAAACCGGAGGAAGGUGGGGAUGACGUCAAGUCCUCAUGGCCCUUAUAGGUGGGGCUACACACGUCAUACAAUGGCUGGUACAAAGGGUUGCCAACCCGCGAGGGGGAGCCAAUCCCAUAAAGCCAGUCGUAGUCCGGAUCGCAGUCUGCAACUCGACUGCGUGAAGUCGGAAUCGCUAGUAAUCGUGGAUCAGCAUGUCACGGUGAAUACGUUCCCGGGUCUU